This 450-nucleotide ribosomal RNA is filed under the name uncultured bacterium. RNAcentral describes it as "bacterial SSU rRNA". It matches the Rfam family "Bacterial small subunit ribosomal RNA", at positions 28 to 478 of the family's 1533-position model. The record is from RNAcentral.
GAUGAACGCUGGCGGCGUGCCUAACACAUGCAAGUCGAGCGAAGCACUUAACUUCGAUCCUUCGGGUGAAGAGUUCUGUGACUGAGCGGCGGACGGGUGAGUAACACGUAGGUAACCUGCCUCACACAGGGGGAUAACAGUUAGAAAUGACUGCUAAUACCGCAUAAGCGCACAGGGCCGCAUGGCCCGGUGUGAAAAGCUCCGGCGGUGUGAGAUGGACCUGCGUCUGAUUAGCCAGUUGGCGGGGUAACGGCCCACCAAAGCGACGAUCAGUAGCCGGCCUGAGAGGGUGGACGGCCACAUUGGGACUGAGACACGGCCCAGACUCCUACGGGAGGCAGCAGUGGGGAAUAUUGCACAAUGGGGGAAACCCUGAUGCAGCGACGCCGCGUGAGCGAAGAAGUAUCUCGGUAUGUAAAGCUCUAUCAGCAGGGAAGAAAAUGACGGUAC